CGGACGGGUGAGUAAUGUCUGGGAAACUGCCUGAUGGAGGGGGAUAACUACUGGAAACGGUAGCUAAUACCGCAUAACGUCGCAAGACCAAAGAGGGGGACCUUCGGGCCUCUUGCCAUCGGAUGUGCCCAGAUGGGAUUAGCUAGUAGGUGGGGUAAAGGCUCACCUAGGCAACGAUCCCUAGCUGGUCUGAGAGGAUGACCAGCCACACUGGAACUGAGACACGGUCCAG
This 232-nucleotide ribosomal RNA is filed under the name uncultured bacterium. RNAcentral describes it as "partial 16S ribosomal RNA". It matches the Rfam family "Bacterial small subunit ribosomal RNA", at positions 99 to 334 of the family's 1533-position model. The record is from RNAcentral.